RNAcentral lists this unclassified non-coding RNA (253 nucleotides) under uncultured Alphaproteobacteria bacterium. RNAcentral describes it as "contains 16S-23S intergenic spacer region". It matches the Rfam family "Bacterial small subunit ribosomal RNA", at positions 524 to 776 of the family's 1533-position model. Lineage: Bacteria; Pseudomonadati; Pseudomonadota; Alphaproteobacteria. The record is from RNAcentral.
UACGGAGGGGGCUAGCGUUGUUCGGAAUUACUGGGCGUAAAGCGCGCGUAGGUGGUAAUGCAAGUCAGAUGUGAAAGCCCGGGGCUUAACCUCGGAACGGCAUUUGAAACUGCAUUGCUAGAGAUCGGUAGAGGGUAGUGGAAUUCCCAGUGUAGAAGUGAAAUUCGUGGAUAUUGGGAGGAACACCGGAGGCGAAGGCGGCUACCUGGACCGGAUCUGACACUGAGGUGCGAAAGCGUGGGGAGCAAACAGG